RNAcentral lists this small nuclear RNA (104 nucleotides) under Carlito syrichta (Philippine tarsier). Lineage: Eukaryota; Metazoa; Chordata; Mammalia; Primates; Tarsiidae. The record is from RNAcentral.
UGUUCACUUGGGCAGCACAAAACUAACACUGAAGCAAUAUGAGGAGGUUAGUGUUGCCCUUGCCCAAAGAUGACACACAAAUUCAUGAAGCAUUCCAUAUUUUU